This 253-nucleotide unclassified non-coding RNA is filed under the name uncultured Pseudomonadaceae bacterium. RNAcentral's name for it is "contains 16S-23S intergenic spacer region". It matches the Rfam family "Bacterial small subunit ribosomal RNA", at positions 524 to 776 of the family's 1533-position model. Lineage: Bacteria; Pseudomonadati; Pseudomonadota; Gammaproteobacteria; Pseudomonadales; Pseudomonadaceae. The record is from RNAcentral.
UACAGAGGGUGCAAGCGUUACUCGGAAUUCCUGCGCGUAAAGCGCGCGUAGGUGGUUGGUUAAGUUGGAUGUGAAAGCCCCGGGCUCAACCUGGGAACUGCAUCCAAAACUGGCCGGCUAGAGUACGGUAGAGGGUGGUGGAAUUUCCUGUGUAGCGGUGAAGUGCGUAGAUAUAGGAAGGAACACCAGUGGCGAAGGCGACCUACUGGACUGAUACUGACACUGAGGUGCGAAAGCGUGGGGAGCAAACAGG